GACGAACGCUGGCGGCGUGCUUAACACAUGCAAGUCGAACGGAAAGGCCCUGCUUUUGUGGGGUGCUCGAGUGGCGAACGGGUGAGUAACACGUGAGUAACCUGCCCUUGACUUUGGGAUAACUUCAGGAAACUGGGGCUAAUACCGGAUAGGAGCUCCUGCUGCAUGGUGGGGGUUGGAAAGUUUCGGCGGUUGGGGAUGGACUCGCGGCUUAUCAGCUUGUGGGUGGGGUAGUGGCUUACCAAGGCUUUGACGGGUAGCCGGCCUGAGAGGGUGACCGGCCACAUUGUGACUGAGAUACGGCCCAGACUCCUACUGGAGGCAGCAGUGGGGAAUAUUGCACAAUGGGCGGAAGCCUGAUGCAGCAACGCCGCGUGCGGGAUGACGGCCUUCGGGUUGUAAACCGCUUUCGCCUGUGACGAAGCGUGAGUGACGGUAAUGGGUAAAGAAGCACCGGCUAACUACGUG
This 468-nucleotide ribosomal RNA is filed under the name uncultured bacterium. RNAcentral describes it as "partial 16S ribosomal RNA". It matches the Rfam family "Bacterial small subunit ribosomal RNA", at positions 28 to 507 of the family's 1533-position model. The record is from RNAcentral.